AUAGCAAAUAUGGGGGAUUUCCUUCUAUCUUCUCUUUGAAGAAACCAAUAUUGCUUUCAUUGUUUUGCUUUAUUCUGAUUAAUUGUUUUGCUCUAUUCUAUAUUCUAUUUUGAUUGGUUUUACAGUGUUCUGUUUUUGGUUUGAUUUUGCUAUACCUGAUUGAAUGGACAACAAUUGUGAAGACAACAAGGUCUAGUUGGAAGCCAUGGACAACGAGCAUUAGAGAACCGAGAGGAGGUCUGGAACAUCUCAGGCUAAACCUGAAGGCUCAGCCCUCCUUCCACACCUGGUACCCACAGCUCUCUGCUCCAGCUGUGCUCACAGCACACCCUGCAUGCAGCUCUGAUCUUCACUGCCUCUUCUCCUUGGCUCCUACAUCUUGAGAGCUCCUCCUCAAUGUCCACGUGAAGACUCAACUCUUACUUCCGGCAGGAAGCAUUCUCUGGUUCCUAGUACCAGAAGCAACCUCCUUCUCUUCUUUCAACUCACACAACUCUUUUCACACCCAGGACACUUUUUAUAGUCUUCUUGCACUGUGGUUAUUUUUAUACUGCAUCUCCCUGGUAUAGUAUAAAUCUAGUAGGAUCUUGCCUCAUUCUCUCUUAAACUCCAUAGCGCUGCAUACUCCAAAAUAAAAUCUACAUUCAAGCCCUGUGUA
Molecule: long non-coding RNA, 658 nt
Organism: Cavia porcellus (domestic guinea pig)
Lineage: Eukaryota; Metazoa; Chordata; Mammalia; Rodentia; Caviidae
Exons: 3
Source: RefSeq, a predicted model, not a curated record